UAAGGAAUAUUGGUCAAUGGACGAAAGUCUGAACCAGCCAUGCCGCGUGGAGGAUGAAGGUCCUCUGGAUUGUAAACUUCUUUUAUCUGGGAAGAAAUCCAUAUUUUCUAAUGUGGUUGACGGUACCAGAUGAAUAAGCACCGGCUAACUCCGUGCCAGCAGCCGCGGUAAUACGGAGGGUGCAAGCGUUAUCCGGAUUCACUGGGUUUAAAGGGUGCGUAGGUGGAUUGCCAAGUCCGUGGUGAAAUCUCUGAGCUUAACUCAGAAACUGCCGUGGAUACUGGUAAUCUUGAAUGCCGUGGAGGUUAGCGGAAUAUGUCAUGUAGCGGUGAAAUGCUUAGAUAUGACAUAGAACACCGAUUGCGAAGGCAGCUGACUACACGGUGAUUGACACUGAGGCACGAAAGCGUGGGGAUCAAACAGG
This 424-nucleotide ribosomal RNA is filed under the name uncultured bacterium. RNAcentral's name for it is "bacterial SSU rRNA". It matches the Rfam family "Bacterial small subunit ribosomal RNA", at positions 355 to 776 of the family's 1533-position model. The record is from RNAcentral.